This 377-nucleotide ribosomal RNA is filed under the name uncultured bacterium. Its description in RNAcentral is "bacterial SSU rRNA". It matches the Rfam family "Bacterial small subunit ribosomal RNA", at positions 521 to 896 of the family's 1533-position model. The record is from RNAcentral.
UAAUACGUAGGAGGCAAGCGUUGUCCGGAAUUACUGGGUGUAAAGCGCGUGUAGGUGGUGGGCCAAGUCUGUGGUGAAAUCGCCCGGCUCAACUGGGCGGGGUCCGUGGAAACUGGUCGACUGGAGGACGGUAGAGGCGAGUGGAAUUCCCGGUGUAGUGGUGAAAUGCGUAGAGAUCGGGAGGAACACCAGUGGCGAAGGCGGCUCGCUGGGCCGGUCCUGACACUGAGACGCGAAGGCGUGGGGAGCGAACGGGAUUAGAUACCCCGGUAGUCCACGCAGUAAACGAUGCACACUAGGUGUGGGGGGUAUCGAGCCCCUCCGUGCCGUAGCCAACGCAGUAAGUGUGCCACCUGGGGAGUACGGCCGCAAGGUUA